CAUCUUGAGGAGAUCAAACCUGUUCUCUACCUGUCCACAAAUGCACAGAAUGUGAAAGAUGCUAUCACUGCAGGAUACGGAGCAGCCACUAUGUUCCAGAGAGUUUACCACGAGAACAGUGAUGAAGAGUUACGUGUGGCCUUUGAUGGUGAUGGAGUCCAGUUUUCAGAUGAGUCAGAGAGAGUCACCAAAGAGAAAGUAUAGGGGCUUUCUUUCAAAAUGAGCGUGAUAAAGAGGCCAAAUCUUUGGAACUGGGUCCUCUAAAAGAGUUUUUUUAAAGCAUUGGUACUUCUCCAGAAGUUGUUCAAUGAAAGCAACCAAAAGAGUUCAAUCCGUACCUACUUGGUAACCACGCAGCACAACAAGUCCUGGAAUCAGAGCCCUAAAGACUCUUCAGGAGAACAAUCUGGAGAUAAAUGAGGCAUUCUUUCUGAGUGGUGCCCAUAAAGGGCCUGUGCUGAAAGCAAUCAUUCCUUACACAUUUUUUGAUGACCAGAUGCCACAUGUUGAUGGAGCCCUUCAAAAUGGGGUUAUUGGUGCUCAUGUACAUUAUGUGAGGAAUGAGUGAAAAUAAAACCUAAUCUUAUAUGUAAAGGGAUAACAACAUACUUUCUUCUGCAACAUGAUUUAUGUCAGGAAAGCUAUAUUUGGUAAUUAUUUCCAGUCUUGUUUCUUAAGGCUUAAAGUGCAAAUGAAAUUAAAGCAAAUGCUGAUUUUAUGGUAUUGUUGAGCUGGUGAUGAUAUAUUUUAAUGGAUAAACUAAUCAGUAAAGC
Molecule: long non-coding RNA, 773 nt
Organism: Sinocyclocheilus anshuiensis
Lineage: Eukaryota; Metazoa; Chordata; Actinopteri; Cypriniformes; Cyprinidae
Exons: 3
Source: RefSeq, a predicted model, not a curated record